AACUUUCAGCAACGGAUCUCUUGGCUCUCGCAUCGAUGAAGAACGCAGCGAAAUGCGAUAAGUAAUGUGAAUUGCAGAAUUCAGUGAAUCAUCGAAUCUUUGAACGCACCUUGCGCUCCUUGGUAUUCUGAGGAGCAUGCCUGUUUGAGUGUCAUU
RNAcentral lists this ribosomal RNA (156 nucleotides) under Thaxterogaster scaurus. RNAcentral's name for it is "Cortinarius scaurus 5.8S ribosomal RNA". It matches the Rfam family "5.8S ribosomal RNA". From Rfam's summary of the family: 5.8S ribosomal RNA (5.8S rRNA) is a component of the large subunit of the eukaryotic ribosome. It is transcribed by RNA polymerase I as part of the 45S precursor that also contains 18S and 28S rRNA. Functionally, it is thought that 5.8S rRNA may be involved in ribosome translocation. Lineage: Eukaryota; Fungi; Basidiomycota; Agaricomycetes; Agaricales; Cortinariaceae. The record is from RNAcentral.